Molecule: long non-coding RNA, 442 nt
Filed under: Ricinus communis (castor bean)
Lineage: Eukaryota; Viridiplantae; Streptophyta; Magnoliopsida; Malpighiales; Euphorbiaceae
Description: long non-coding RNA (RCOM_LNC003378)
Source: RNAcentral
GAAGGAGCUUUACCAUCAUUAAGCCUCCCUCCUCAAACUCUGAAUGACUCUUCUUUCCAUCCGCCCACUUCUUCAUUCUCUUGGCGGCCUUGGUUAGAGGAACACAUGCCCUGUCGGCUUUCUCAUGCCAUCCCUUGUACUUCGGUAAUGGCUUUGACAAUUCGGUGGGCUUGUUUUGUUCCACCUUGCCUUGGUCCAAUGAAGGAAAGUUAGCAUUAGUGGUGGAAGCUAACUUUGCCUUGCUACUUAGCGCAUCGGCCACUAAGUUUGCCUUUCCCGGCUUGUACUCCUUCGCAAAAUCGGACUCCACAAGGGAUGCUUGCCAUCUUUCUUGCUUCAGAGUUGGCUUCUUUUGCUUGAGUACCGGUGGUUCACAUGGAGCCUUGGAUGGCCUAGUGUGGCUAGCAUCCAACAACUCUUUUGGUUGCCUCCGCAACUCUUC